RNAcentral lists this ribosomal RNA (1554 nucleotides) under Staphylococcus aureus. Its description in RNAcentral is "16S ribosomal RNA". It matches the Rfam family "Bacterial small subunit ribosomal RNA". Lineage: Bacteria; Bacillati; Bacillota; Bacilli; Caryophanales; Staphylococcaceae. The record is from RNAcentral.
UAUGGAGAGUUUGAUCCUGGCUCAGGAUGAACGCUGGCGGCGUGCCUAAUACAUGCAAGUCGAGCGAACGGACGAGAAGCUUGCUUCUCUGAUGUUAGCGGCGGACGGGUGAGUAACACGUGGAUAACCUACCUAUAAGACUGGGAUAACUUCGGGAAACCGGAGCUAAUACCGGAUAAUAUUUUGAACCGCAUGGUUCAAAAGUGAAAGACGGUCUUGCUGUCACUUAUAGAUGGAUCCGCGCUGCAUUAGCUAGUUGGUAAGGUAACGGCUUACCAAGGCAACGAUGCAUAGCCGACCUGAGAGGGUGAUCGGCCACACUGGAACUGAGACACGGUCCAGACUCCUACGGGAGGCAGCAGUAGGGAAUCUUCCGCAAUGGGCGAAAGCCUGACGGAGCAACGCCGCGUGAGUGAUGAAGGUCUUCGGAUCGUAAAACUCUGUUAUUAGGGAAGAACAUAUGUGUAAGUAACUGUGCACAUCUUGACGGUACCUAAUCAGAAAGCCACGGCUAACUACGUGCCAGCAGCCGCGGUAAUACGUAGGUGGCAAGCGUUAUCCGGAAUUAUUGGGCGUAAAGCGCGCGUAGGCGGUUUUUUAAGUCUGAUGUGAAAGCCCACGGCUCAACCGUGGAGGGUCAUUGGAAACUGGAAAACUUGAGUGCAGAAGAGGAAAGUGGAAUUCCAUGUGUAGCGGUGAAAUGCGCAGAGAUAUGGAGGAACACCAGUGGCGAAGGCGACUUUCUGGUCUGUAACUGACGCUGAUGUGCGAAAGCGUGGGGAUCAAACAGGAUUAGAUACCCUGGUAGUCCACGCCGUAAACGAUGAGUGCUAAGUGUUAGGGGGUUUCCGCCCCUUAGUGCUGCAGCUAACGCAUUAAGCACUCCGCCUGGGGAGUACGACCGCAAGGUUGAAACUCAAAGGAAUUGACGGGGACCCGCACAAGCGGUGGAGCAUGUGGUUUAAUUCGAAGCAACGCGAAGAACCUUACCAAAUCUUGACAUCCUUUGACAACUCUAGAGAUAGAGCCUUCCCCUUCGGGGGACAAAGUGACAGGUGGUGCAUGGUUGUCGUCAGCUCGUGUCGUGAGAUGUUGGGUUAAGUCCCGCAACGAGCGCAACCCUUAAGCUUAGUUGCCAUCAUUAAGUUGGGCACUCUAAGUUGACUGCCGGUGACAAACCGGAGGAAGGUGGGGAUGACGUCAAAUCAUCAUGCCCCUUAUGAUUUGGGCUACACACGUGCUACAAUGGACAAUACAAAGGGCAGCGAAACCGCGAGGUCAAGCAAAUCCCAUAAAGUUGUUCUCAGUUCGGAUUGUAGUCUGCAACUCGACUACAUGAAGCUGGAAUCGCUAGUAAUCGUAGAUCAGCAUGCUACGGUGAAUACGUUCCCGGGUCUUGUACACACCGCCCGUCACACCACGAGAGUUUGUAACACCCGAAGCCGGUGGAGUAACCUUUUAGGAGCUAGCCGUCGAAGGUGGGACAAAUGAUUGGGGUGAAGUCGUAACAAGGUAGCCGUAUCGGAAGGUGCGGCUGGAUCACCUCCUUUCUAA